RNAcentral lists this ribosomal RNA (465 nucleotides) under uncultured bacterium. RNAcentral describes it as "partial 16S ribosomal RNA". It matches the Rfam family "Bacterial small subunit ribosomal RNA", at positions 338 to 795 of the family's 1533-position model. The record is from RNAcentral.
CCUACGGGGGGCUGCAGUGGGGAAUUUUGGACAAUGGGCGCAAGCCUGAUCCAGCUAUUCCGCGUGUGGGAAGACGGCCUUCGGGUUGUAAACCACUUUUGUAGAGAACGAAAAGUCUGUUGAUAAUACCGAUAGAUGAUGACGGUACUCUAAGAAUAAGCACCGGCUAACUACGUGCCAGCAGCCGCGGUAAUACGUAGGGUGCGAGCGUUAAUCGGAAUUACUGGGCGUAAAGGGUGUGCAGGCGGUGUUGCAAGAUGGAUGUGAAAGCCCCGGGCUUAACCUGGGAAAGCCAUACAUGACUGCAAGACUAGAGUGCGUCAGAGGGGAGUGGAAUUCCAAGUGUAGCAGUGAAAUGCGUAGAUAUUUGGAAGAACACCGAUGGCGAAGGCAGCCCCCUGGGACGCAACUGACGCUCAUACACGAAAGCGUGGGGAGCAAACAGGAUUAGAUACCCGGGUAGUC